This 71-nucleotide transfer RNA is filed under the name Loxodonta africana (African savanna elephant). It matches the Rfam family "tRNA". Rfam says of the family: Transfer RNA (tRNA) molecules are approximately 80 nucleotides in length. Their secondary structure includes four short double-helical elements and three loops (D, anti-codon, and T loops). The record is from Rfam by way of RNAcentral. Lineage: Eukaryota; Metazoa; Chordata; Mammalia; Proboscidea; Elephantidae.
ACAUUGAUGCCUCUGUGGUAGAAUUCUCAUCUUCCACGUUAGAGACCUGGGUUCGAUCCCCGGUCAAUGUA